Small nucleolar RNA from Ananas comosus (pineapple), 125 nucleotides. The record is from Rfam. NCBI's taxonomy places the organism in Eukaryota, Viridiplantae, Streptophyta, Magnoliopsida, Poales, Bromeliaceae.
AUCCCAGGUGAGCUUGUUCUGGGUGUUCAUCUGAUUCAUAGGAGGCCGAAAAUAACGAUGGUAGUUUCGCUGGUAACACCCCCAUUUUCUAUGGAGGCGUUCCAUUAGUAUCUCUCCAUACAUGA